This 65-nucleotide transfer RNA is filed under the name Parnara guttata (straight swift). RNAcentral's name for it is "tRNA-Phe". Lineage: Eukaryota; Metazoa; Arthropoda; Insecta; Lepidoptera; Hesperiidae. The record is from RNAcentral.
AUUUAAAUAGCUUAAAUAAAGAGUGUAAUAUUGAAGAUAUUAAGGUGAUUUUUAAUCUUUAGAUA